RNAcentral lists this unclassified non-coding RNA (253 nucleotides) under uncultured Sphingobacteriales bacterium. Its description in RNAcentral is "contains 16S-23S intergenic spacer region". It matches the Rfam family "Bacterial small subunit ribosomal RNA", at positions 524 to 776 of the family's 1533-position model. The record is from RNAcentral. Lineage: Bacteria; Pseudomonadati; Bacteroidota; Sphingobacteriia; Sphingobacteriales.
UACGGAGGGUGCAAGCGUUAUCCGGAUUUAUUGGGUUUAAAGGGUGCGCAGGCGGAGAUCUAAGUCAGUGGUGAAAUCCUACAGCUUAACUGUAGAACUGCCAUUGAUACUGGUUCUCUUGAAUAUGGUUGAAGUGGGCGGAAUGUGUCAUGUAGCGGUGAAAUGCAUAGAUAUGACACAGAACACCGAUAGCGAAGGCAGCUCACUAAGCCAUUAUUGACGCUCAUGCACGAAAGCGUGGGGAGCGAACAGG